GAUGAACGCUGGCGGCGUGCUUAACACAUGCAAGUCGAGCGAGAAGUUUUGAAAAGAUUCUUCGGAUGAAAUUUAAAAUGGAAAGCGGCGGACGGGUGGGUAACGCGUAGGCAACCUGCCCCAUACAAAGGGAUAGCAUUUGGAAACGAAUAUUAAUACCUUAUGAAACUUAACUAGUGCAUGCUAGGUAGGUCAAAGAUUUAUCGGUAUGGGAUGGGCCUGCGUCUGAUUAGCUAGUUGGUGAGGUAACGGCUCACCAAGGCGACGAUCAGUAGCCGACCUGAGAGGGUGAACGGCCACAUGGGAACUGAGACACGGUCCAAACUCCUACGGGAGGCAGCAGUGGGGAAUAUUGCACAAUGGGGGAAACCCUGAUGCAGCAACGCCGCGUGAACGAUGAAGGCCUUUGGGUCGUAAAGUUCUGUUCUAGGUGAUGAAAACUGACAGUAACCUAGGAGAAAGCCCCGGCUAACUCCGUG
Molecule: ribosomal RNA, 479 nt
Filed under: uncultured bacterium
Lineage: Bacteria
Description: partial 16S ribosomal RNA
Rfam family: Bacterial small subunit ribosomal RNA
Source: RNAcentral